UGGGGAAUAUUGGACAAUGGGGGGAACCCUGAUCCAGCCAUGCCGCGUGUGUGAAGAAGGCCUUAUGGUUGUAAAGCACUUUAAGCGAGGAGGAGGGUACUGGUAUUAAUACUACCAGCUACUGGACGUUACUCGCAGAAUAAGCACCGGCUAACUCUGUGCCAGCAGCCGCGGUAAUACAGAGGGUGCGAGCGUUAAUCGGAUUUACUGGGCGUAAAGCGUGCGUAGGCGGCUAAUUGAGUCGGAUGUGAAAUCCCCGAGCUUAACUUGGGAAUUGCAUUCGAUACUGGUUAGCUAGAGUGUGGGAGAGAAUGGUAGAAUUCCAGGUGUAGCGGUGAAAUGCGUAGAGAUCUGGAGGAAUACCGAUGGCGAAGGCAGCCAUCUGGCCUAACACUGACGCUGAGGUACGAAAGCAUGGGGAGCAAACAGG
RNAcentral lists this ribosomal RNA (430 nucleotides) under Pseudomonadota bacterium. Its description in RNAcentral is "Proteobacteria bacterium partial 16S ribosomal RNA". It matches the Rfam family "Bacterial small subunit ribosomal RNA", at positions 355 to 776 of the family's 1533-position model. The record is from RNAcentral. Lineage: Bacteria; Pseudomonadati; Pseudomonadota.